UACAGAGGGUGCAAGCGUUGUUCGGAAUUAUUGGGCGUAAAGGGCGCGUAGGCGGUGCGGUAAGUCCGCAGUGAAAUCUCUGGGCUCAACUCAGAGUCUGCUGUGGAAACUGCCGUGCUCGAGUGUGGGAGAGGUGAGUGGAAUUCCCGGUGUAGCGGUGAAAUUCGUAGAUAUUCGGAAGAGCACCAGUGGCGAAGGCGACUCACUGGACACGUAUUGACGCUGAGGUGCGAAAGCGUGGGGAGCAAACAGG
Molecule: ribosomal RNA, 253 nt
Filed under: uncultured bacterium
Lineage: Bacteria
Description: partial 16S ribosomal RNA
Rfam family: Bacterial small subunit ribosomal RNA
Source: RNAcentral